Molecule: non-coding RNA, 74 nt
Organism: Martensiomyces pterosporus
Lineage: Eukaryota; Fungi; Kickxellomycota; Kickxellomycetes; Kickxellales; Kickxellaceae
Source: the annotation of a GenBank genome assembly
GCCCCACUAGCUCAGUUGGCUAGAGCGUUCGGCUUUUAACCGAAAUGUCGAGGGUUCGAACCCCUCGUGGGGCG